CUUUGCUCCAAAAGCUGGCUGGGCUGUGUUAAGAAGUGGGAGCUCCUCAGACAGUGUGUGCGCUUUCCUUGGAGUCAGUUAAACUUCCACUCAGCUUUGCAGGGGUCACAAACCACCACGCAGUAGGUUCGACCUGGUCGUCCUAACUUGAAGCCUAGGCUUGCCUCAAGUCUAGCACCAUCUACAUGGGCUUGUCACUGUCUUCUUGAAGAACUGCCCCAUUACCCUGACAAGUCCUGUGUGUUUCUACAACCUGGAUGAGCUCCCUGCCCAGCACCUGCCUUGUCUGAUGGCCUUUAUGGGACAAGGAAGAAGGAACUAAGAGUCUCUCUGACAGAGAAGAGUCCCUCUUCUCGUGACUCCAGGAAACCCUGAAGCCUCCUCGGCUCCCACAGCUGGCUGGAGCAGGAGGCAGCUACGCUUGCAAAGCUGAGGUCCUGGCCUGCAGCCCCACCACCUCCUUUUGGAGUUUGCUCAGUGCACAUGCCUCUGAACUGACCCAGGAGAGCCGGGUAGCCGACGUGUCCCAAAAGGACGGCCGGCAGAGUCUCACUGAGUCACCAAGUUGCCCAGGUUGGGCACCAGCUUGUGGUCUUCCUGCCUCAGCCUCCGACAGCACUGCAGUGACAGGCGUGACCGUGCCAGGCUGAUGCUUGGUUCUUACCCCUGGGAGCUUCGGCGAAGACACUGGAGGCAGAAGUGACACCGCCCCAGGAAGCACGCGUGGUGUCCUGGAGCUGCUGGCUUGGUGACCACAGAAUGCCCAGCGCAUGUGCUGCAGGGCUGAGCUUCUCUCCGUCGCAGAGGCCUGCAUUUUAGUGUAAGAACAAUGUCAGUGCUGCUCUGAUACAGGCUUGGCGCAGGAGAGAUGGAAACUUGUUGAAGUGGAAUGAUUGCCACUGCCGGAUACAUUUGGGCAUUUUUCUUCCUUGCUAAUGAAAACACAAAACACAAAAACACCCCCCCACCACCAAAAAAAAAAAACCCUUGGAAAAACCUAGCAAAGUAUUUCGUUACCAUCGAGAGUUGAGCGAUGGUGGCCCCUGGUGACACAGCAUGACACACAGCGCAAGACACACACACAGAGACAACAGCGGUACUGCCCACCGAGGGGGGGUCUUGAACCUUCUCUGCUUUGCCCCUUCCCAGCCUUCAGUGUCUGAACACGAAUCCUGACCGCCUCAGCGCCAGGCCUGCACAAGCGGUAUGGUCUCUUUGGGGAGCUCCAGGCUUAAGCUUCUUUGGGACCCGGCUUGUGGCUCCCCCUGACUGAGCUCACGCAGCCUCUCUUCCCAUAGCGCCCCACUCUGAGCUCACUGUGCUAUCAAAACCCGUCUUUCAAGCCGAGGGCUUGCAGGUCAACCGGACUUUCCCUCCGAGCUGUUUUUAUUUUCCUGGGAGACUCCCGGUAAAAUUACCUGAGCCUUCAUCUAGGUAAAUAAAGCUCCAUGUGGGGAAUUUGAGGUAUGUGGUGCCACAAGUUGAGGAGAUAAUUUUGCGUGGGAGAGGGGGUCCUUUCCAGCAGCCUUUCCUUCCUAAAGGUAGGAACCCUACAUUUCCCAAACCAUCUCAGGGAGGUCACUCCAUGACUGUGUCCCUCUCUGUCUAGGAUGAAAUAGGGACGAGGAUUUUAUAACUUUCCUACCCGACAUGCUCUGACUCCAGGGAGCAUGUGAUUUCCUGGCAUCAGUGGGAUAGAGGGCACCUACCUUGUUCUCUUGAACAUGCCUGGCUCUCCAGGUCCAAUGAUCUGCCUCCAGUGUGGGUGCCCCCGGGCUCGAAGCUCCACUAUUCACAAAAGCCGGACGGUGGAGUCUGACGGGAGAAGGAUGCUUGCAAUGUGAUCUGCACGGGCAACAGAAUGGUCCUGUUCCUAAAAGGAAGGGAAUUCUGACGCAUACUGAAAUAUGGAUAAAAAUAAGAGAUGUUAUGCUCAUGCAAUAAGCAUAAUGCUGGCUAUGAAUAAUUCAAUUUUUCAGGGGGAGUCAGUACUAGGAAUUGAACCCAGGCCCUGGACAGAGAAGUACAUACUUUGCCCUUUUAAAAUUUUUAUUUUGAGACAGUCUUGCUAAAUUGUUAAGUUGACCAGCGUGGGAUUCAAUUUUUGUGAUUCUCCUGCCUCAGUCUCUUGAGGUGCUGGGACCAUAGGUAUGAGUCAUCACAUCCCAUUUAUAUGGUUCUGCAUAUACGAAGUGCCCAGAGUAGGUAAAUUUUAGGAAACAAGAGAAGAUGAUGUUUAUUAAGGCUGGGAGGAGAAGUGAUAAUACACAGUUAUUGUCCAAUGGGUACAGAGUUUCAUUUUGAGAUCCUGGAAUGGUUAUGCAGGCCUAUAAUUCCAGCACUCGGGAGGCUGAGGCAGGAGGAUCCUAAGUUUGAGGCCAGGAUGGGGUACAUAAAGAUGUCUCCAGUCCUCCCCUCCAAAAACAAAAGUUUCAGUUUGGGAGAAUGAAGAGGUUCUGGAGAAAGAAACAAUGACAAUGUAUCUAAUGCCACCACUCAGUUAAACAUGGUUAAGAUGGUGACUUUUGUUAUGUACCUUUUGCUGCAACUAAAAAAGAACUGGCAUUGAACUUAAGAUGGACAUUCAGUACUGUUGAUUGGUUAAUAUAUAAACUCAGGUGCCUCCCACUCCGCUUCAUGGUCAUUGUAUUUUGUCCUCCUGUGCCUGUGAGAGGUGGUUGAUUCAUGUCACCACAACUCCUCAGCUGGCUUUUUUUUUUCCCUGCGGUACCAGGGAUUGAACUCACGACCUUGCACUUGCCAGGCAGGUGCUCGUGCCACUGAACCACUAAACCCACAGCCCUCAGCUUGCUUUGAAACAAUAGUGACUUUCACUGAGUUCUGUGGGGAAAUGCGCACAGCGAGGAGUUUGUCACAUCUUGCUCUCUUAGAUCAUGGGACAGGAGACAGCUGACAGAGGGUCCCAGGUGACAGCCCUCAUUUAAAUGGACCCAGUCUGGCCCAGUAGAGGGAAGGAACAGGCCCUAGAAUGUUACUCUCAAUUUUUCUUUCUUGCAGUUAUGCAAAAAAAGGUCUAAGUAAUGACAUCUUGUCCAACCAGCCCCUUCCCCUAGAGCACUGAGUUUAAUAAGGAAUUAAUUAAUUUCCUUUAAUAAGGAAUUUCCUUUAGGAAGGUGACUUUUAGAAAGGAAACAAGCAUGGUUUAUUCUUGCUGCUUGUCUUAGUUACUUUUCUCAUUGCUGAGGCAAAACCCCCGACCCCCACAGGUGAAGCAGGAAGGGAUUAUUUGGCUCACAGUUUGCAGAGGUUUCAGUUUGCAGUUGUCUGGCGCCAAGGCAGGGAGAGGGUUAGAGGAGAAGGAGAUCCUGGCAGGCACAAGGCAGCAAAAGCAAGCAAGCAACCCAGUGAGACAGUAGCGGCUUCUUUCUGCCCCUUUUAUAUUCUAUCUAGGCCACCCAGCUAAGGCGGUAUCAAACCAAUCAGCACACUGACGUAGUAAUGGCCCACUCUUAAUCCCAGCUUCCUUCAUGCUGGUGUUGCACCGUGAAUCAAUCAUAGCAUCACACUCUAGAUCUGGGAGCUCUGACAAAGCCCCACCAAUGACCGUGUGCGCCUGGGAGAGACCUCUACACACAGGUCACAACACUGCCUAACCGGGAGCCUUCCGUGAGUCUGACUUGGGCCCACAGAACUCUCACAAGCAUAGGCUUUGGUCUUUCUCCGGGCUAUGGAGGUGCUGACAGGUUUGCAGAAACCAUGGACAUCAGGGACAUCAAGGCUGGGAAGGCCACCUCUGGAAGAGCAGCAUUGUGCAACCGCAGCCUCCCAUCCCCUCUCCGCAGCCCCUCCUACUGCCCACCUCUGAAUUUGACUCCUGUAGGUGCCUGGCGUGAGAGGGAUCCUUAGUACUUGUCUCUCUGGAAUCGGCUUCAGGGUUUAUGCACACUGUCACACAAGUUAGACUUUCUCUGGUGGGCUUCCUUUCCUUUUAAAGGUUGAAGAAUAACUUAUCCCUUCAAUGUGAACAUCUAUUUGGGUUGUUUCUCAUCCAGAUUAUUUUGCAAAUUAUAGGAACAUGUCAUGAAAAAAUAGUUUAUAAUACUCCUUGUGCCUGGAGCGACUCACAGGGAAAGACAAGGGUGGGGGGUAAGGUGGGCAACGGGCGUAAGUAUCCUAAAGCACUUGAUGGGUAAUGCAGAAAAGUCUCCUAGAAAUAACCCUGUAAUUUUACUCUAAGAAAACCGAGGUGCAGGCCUUCCUUUGCGUCUCUGUGGCUCUCCCUACAGUGAAAAAAUAUUCUGAUAAAAACCAAAUGCUUUUUGGUUCACACAUGCCCUCUUGGAACCGUACAAAUACAGUAUCUGGAUUCUUAGCCAGCUGGGUGAGUUUCGGAGCACUGGAGACCAACGAGCUGGAGUUCGAGACCACCCCGAAGCUCUUCAUGGAUCUCAAACUGGGAAUUUCCCCAGUGUUCCCCUCGAAGGCAAGCGGGUGCUUCGCAGAUUUCAUGCUCCCCCCGCCAUGUGGCUCUGCCUCCCUGCUGGGCUGGGACUUCUGGUGGGGACAAGAACAGUGUCAUGGACACAGCCUGUGGCUCCCUCCUCCUGUGUCGCUUACACACACCAGGUACUUCUCCAUUGUUAAUUUUAAAGGCCAGAAGCUUAGUCUUUAUUAGCCUUUCCAAGAUGGUCUAUUUAGGACAGUUAUUGCCUAUUUUGAAAACACUCUAAGGGAUAGGUACACAUUGUGGUGUUUGACCCUAAAAAUAGGAAUUUAUUCUUACCCUCCAGCACUGCAUAUAAAGAAAAGAGACAUUAAUGUCUAAGGUCUUCCCUCCCUGUGGCUAAUGCCGAACAGCAACGUGUGUUAACCAUUUUCAGACUGUGCUUGCGGGCAGAAAACAGAGGAUUUCUUCUGUUAUUUGUGAGUGUAUACGGCAGACAGUCAGAGGGAAGGUAGUUGGUUAGAUUUUAGUGAUUUUUCCAUUUUCAGAUGUGUGGAUCCCUGUCAAAAAUGCUGGCUAGAGAUGGGAGAAGCGGAAAGCAAACCGUGGCCUGCUGGGCCUGAGUCCACGCAAACCCCUAGGCUGCCCACACUUGGCUUCAGCGUGGGGCAUCCAGACAGCCUCUCAGCUGUGGCCGUGAAAAGCCCCGGAGCCUACUAAAUACCAGCUCUUGUCCUGCCCAGAGCUGGUCUGUGCUCUGUGGGGAUGGGUGAUGCUAGUCAAGGAAAUUAUAGGCUGUCCAGCCACCAGACCUUCCAGAAAGAUUAUGGGGUGACUUACUGAUCUUUAGGUGGGUCAGGGAUUUUGAAGGAAGGUUAGAUUUAAAGCCUGUAGUUAGGUUUGGAAAGGUUGGGCUUGGAAUCUCAGAGAGAUGUAGAUACAAUGGAAAAAGCUCCAGGCAAAAAGGCACUUGUUUCUGUUCUUGUCCUGGUUCCCACACAGCCAGGCUCAUCCCCUGGGGACAUAGGUGACACAGCUGGCUUGUCAAGCCCUCCACCUUACAGAUAGGGACACUGUAACUGAAAAUGUGAAGCGAGUUCAUCCCAUUUCCCCACUGGUCAGAUCAGAACCAAGGCUACAACAUAUUCUGCUGGCAUCUGUGACUAAGCUUCCUCCCAAGGAUGCCCUAGGACCUGAUCAUUCAGUUUCAGUGACUUACCAUCAGAUUUGCUAUACCCUUGGAGGGCCUUUCUGGAGCUUCAGAGGUUCUGCUUUUAAUGUGUUUCAUGUUUAAUGAAAGGGAUUAUGCUGGGGCCAACCACAGAAAAGUAGAAGCAAGAGAAAUUUGGGAGGGUUCAAUGUGGAUAAAUGACCUUAGCUCCUGGCUGUGGGCUAAAUUAUGUCCCCUCAAAUUCAUAUAUGGAACCUCAACCACCAUGUAUUAGUCAACUUUUCCAUUACUGGGAUAAAAUAUCCACAAUUUAAAGAAGAGGUUUAAUUUGGCUCACACUUUUAGGGGGUUCAGUGCAUGGUUAGCUGGCUCCAAGGCAGAAAUGGCAUGGUGGACGGGAGCUGCUCAAUUUAUGGCACUUAGGAAUCAGAAAGAGUAGGAGGGGGGGAGGAUAAAGACAAGAAGACAUUCUUUCUGGUCACAUUCCCCAGUGGCUAGUCCCUGCCUCCACAGGCUGUGGUGGGCUGAAUCACAUCCCAGCCAUAAUCUUCCCUUCCCAUAAUGUGACCUACUUGGAGAUACAGUAAUUGAAGGUGUAAUUAGCUAAAACAAAGUCCUGUUGGAUUAGGGUGAGGCUCUAAUCCGAUGUGAUGGGCAUCCUUAUAGAGAAAAAAAUUGGACAUAGAAUAGUGUGAAUGCCACAUGAGGAUAAAGACAAAAAUUGGCAGGAUGAUUCAAUAAUCCCUGGGACCAAAGAUUGGGAGCAAAGCAACAGAAGCCAGGAGAAAAGCAUGGAUCAGAUUCUCCUUCACAGCCUCAGAAA
Cavia porcellus (domestic guinea pig) is the source of this 6399-nucleotide long non-coding RNA. RefSeq lists it as uncharacterized. NCBI's taxonomy places the organism in Eukaryota, Metazoa, Chordata, Mammalia, Rodentia, Caviidae. The record is from RefSeq and is a predicted model, not a curated record. The transcript is spliced from 4 exons.